This 82-nucleotide transfer RNA is filed under the name Spirochaetaceae bacterium. RNAcentral describes it as "tRNA-Leu". It matches the Rfam family "tRNA". From Rfam's summary of the family: Transfer RNA (tRNA) molecules are approximately 80 nucleotides in length. Lineage: Bacteria; Pseudomonadati; Spirochaetota; Spirochaetia; Spirochaetales; Spirochaetaceae. The record is from RNAcentral.
GCCCGGAUGGUGGAAUUGGUAGACACGCUAGUUUCAGGUACUAGUGCCGCGAGGUUUGGGAGUUCGAGUCUCCCUCCGGGCA